CUGAACCGACAACAUAUCCGAGCUUUGGCGAUGGGUUCUUCUUCUCUCUUCCUCCUCGGGGUUCAACUGUUUACAUAUGAGGACGACAUGCAUGUACAGAGCCCAUCAGUACUAGAGGACUCAGACAGAUCUCAAUGAUGUUAACGAAGCUUGCUUGCGAGGUUGGUGGAGAGAGGCAUGCUUCAGAGAUAGCUAGGAAGUGAUCGUUAGGUGGAGUCCAGCCAGAUUUGCAUCAUAGCUGAUGAGAGCCUCGGGCUAGUUUCUCUGAAACUUUGGAUCUAUGUUCCUGAGUUGGCGCUGAAGAGUAGAGAAGAGAAGAGAGAGUCGAGAGUUCCUUUCGUUCAAGGGUUGGAUGUCAUGCCACAGUACAUUGCACUCAGAGACCAUAAAUCAAAGCUGUACGUGCAUUCUUGGAAGAGAUGAUCAUGAGUUUCAGCGAAGAAGUUACAUAGGAGAUAUAGUGGUGGAGCCUGUAAACCCCAACUGCUGAGCCUGUCUCUAGUAGGACAUCUGUUUUUUAUCACCAACAAAGCUAAGGAGUGUCUCGGGAUCCCAUAAGAAGACCAGAUUGUCUUGGCUCAGUUUACAUCAGGUGCGGUUGUACAGAGUUAAAUAGGUGUGCAGCUGAAGUUGUUGGCGCCACAAUUCAUUUCUGCAUUGAGAGGGAUCCCAAGCCUUGACGAUGAGCCUUGGAGAAAGGUUGAUAAACUGCCAAAGGGUGUCCAUUUGUCAAACCAGAACCUAGCCGAUGGUCCAUCCUGCAGCUUAAGUUUAAUCAGUGGGAAAACUAAGUCUUUAAGCUUCAGGAGUUUGUUUCUAGCCAAGAGUAGAAGCUACUUGGUUUGGUAGUCCAGUACCAGUAGUUGUGUAUUGAUCCUUAAAAGUAUUUUUUUCCUUCCUUGAACCCAUAUUGAUCAUGCUCUGAAGAAUAGCAUCCAAACUAGCUUUAGAUAGCAAGCUUUGUUCCAAGUGUUAAGAUCCUUAAUUUUUGCCCAAA
Molecule: long non-coding RNA, 997 nt
Organism: Raphanus sativus (radish)
Lineage: Eukaryota; Viridiplantae; Streptophyta; Magnoliopsida; Brassicales; Brassicaceae
Exons: 4
Source: RefSeq, a predicted model, not a curated record